UACGUAGGUGGCAAGCGUUGUCCGGAUUUACUGGGCGUAAAGGGAGCGUAGGUGGAUAUUUAAGUGGGAUGUGAAAUCCCCGGGCUUAACCUGGGGGCUGCAUUCCAAACUGGAUGUCUAGAGUGCAGGAGAGGAGAGUGGAAUUCCUAGUGUAGCGGUGAAAUGCGUAGAGAUUAGGAAGAACACCCGUGGCGAAGGCGGCUCUCUGGGACGGUACUGACGCUGAGACGCGAAAGCGUGGGGAGCGAACAGG
RNAcentral lists this ribosomal RNA (253 nucleotides) under uncultured bacterium. Its description in RNAcentral is "partial 16S ribosomal RNA". It matches the Rfam family "Bacterial small subunit ribosomal RNA", at positions 524 to 776 of the family's 1533-position model. The record is from RNAcentral.